GACGAACGCUGGCGGCGUGCUUAACACAUGCAAGUCGAGCGGUAAGGCCCUUUCGGGGGUACACGAGCGGCGAACGGGUGAGGUAACACGUGGGUGACCUGCCCUCAGCUCUGGGAUAAGCCUGGGAAACCGGGUCUAAUACUGGAUAUGACUCCAUGACGCAUGUUGUGGGGUGGAAAGCCUUGUGCGGCUGAGGAUGGGCCCGCGGCCUAUCAGCUUGUUGGUGGGGUGANGGCCUACCAAGGCGACGACGGGUAGCCGGCCCUGAGAGGGGCGACCGGCCACACUGGGACUGAGACACGGCCCAGACUCCGUACGGGAGGCAGCAGUGGGGGAAUCUUGCGCAAUGGGCGAAAGCCUGACGCAGCGACGCCGCGUGA
This 380-nucleotide ribosomal RNA is filed under the name uncultured bacterium. Its description in RNAcentral is "bacterial SSU rRNA". It matches the Rfam family "Bacterial small subunit ribosomal RNA", at positions 28 to 404 of the family's 1533-position model. The record is from RNAcentral.